GGCGGCAUGCUUUACACAUGCAAGUCGAACGGUAACAGGCCUUCGGGCGCUGACGAGUGGCGAACGGGUGAGUAAUGCAUCGGAACGUGCCCAAUCGUGGGGGAUAACGUAGCGAAAGUUACGCUAAUACCGCAUACGCCCUGUAGGGGGAAAGUGGGGGACCGCAAGGCCUCACGCGAAUGGAGCGGCCGAUGUCAGAUUAGCUAGUUGGUGGGGUAAAGGCUCACCAAGGCGACGAUCUGUAGCGGGUCUGAGAGGAUGAUCCGCCACACUGGGACUGAGACACGGCCCAGACUCCUACGGGAGGCAGCAGUGGGGAAUUUUGGACAAUGGGCGCAAGCCUGAUCCAGCCAUGCCGCGUGCGGGACGAAGGCCUUCGGGUUGUAAACCGCUUUCAGCCGGAAAGAAAUCGCCGUUUUUAAUACAGACGGUGGAUGACGGUACCGGAAGAAGAAGCACCGACUAACUACGUGCCAGCAGCCGCGGUAAUACGUAGGGUGCGAGCGUUAAUCGGAAUUACUGGGCGUAAAGCGUGCGCAGGCGGUUUUGUAAGCCAGACGUGAAAUCCCCGGGCUUAACCUGGGAACUGCGUUUGGAACUGCAAGACUAGAGUGUGUCAGAGGGAGGUGGAAUUCCACGUGUAGCAGUGAAAUGCGUAGAUAUGUGGAGGAACAUCGAUGGCGAAGGCAGCCUCCUGGGAUAACACUGACGCUCAUGCACGAAAGCGUGGGGAGCAAACAGGAUUAGAUACCCUGGUAGUCCACGCCCUAAACGAUGUCAACUGGUUGUUGGGAGAGAAAUCUUUCAGUAACGAAGCUAACGCGUGAAGUUGACCGCCUGGGGAGUACGGCCGCAAGGUUGAAACUCAAAGGAAUUGACGGGGGCCCGCACAAGCGGUGGAUGAUGUGGAUUAAUUCGAUGCAACGCGAAGAACCUUACCUGCUCUUGACAUGCCAGGAACCUUGGAGAGAUCUGAGGGUGCCCGAAAGGGAAUCUGGACACAGGUGCUGCAUGGCUGUCGCCAGCUCGUGUCGUGAGAUGUUGGGUUAAGUCCCGCAACGAGCGCAACCCUUAUCAUUAGUUGCUACGCAAGGGCACUCUAAUGAGACUGCCGGUGACAAACCGGAGGAAGGUGGGGAUGACGUCAAGUCCUCAUGGCCCUUAUGAGCAGGGCUUCACACGUCAUACAAUGGUCGGUACAGAGGGUUGCCAACCCGCGAGGGGGAGCCAAUCCCACAAAGCCGAUCGUAGUCCGGAUCGUAGUCUGCAACUCGACUACGUGAAGUCGGAAUCGCUAGUAAUCGCGGAUCAGCAUGUCGCGGUGAAUACGUUCCCGGGCCUUGUACACACCGCCCGUCACACCAUGGGAGUAGGUUGCUCCAGAAGUAGGUAGCCUAACCGCAAGGAGGC
Molecule: ribosomal RNA, 1410 nt
Filed under: uncultured beta proteobacterium
Lineage: Bacteria; Pseudomonadati; Pseudomonadota; Betaproteobacteria
Description: 16S ribosomal RNA
Rfam family: Bacterial small subunit ribosomal RNA
Source: RNAcentral